Molecule: ribosomal RNA, 300 nt
Filed under: uncultured Gammaproteobacteria bacterium
Lineage: Bacteria; Pseudomonadati; Pseudomonadota; Gammaproteobacteria
Description: partial 16S ribosomal RNA
Rfam family: Bacterial small subunit ribosomal RNA
Source: RNAcentral
CAGGUGCUGCAUGGCUGUCGUCAGCUCGUGUUGUGAAAUGUUGGGUUAAGUCCCGCAACGAGCGCAACCCUUAUCCUUUGUUGCCAGCGUUUAGGGGGGGAACCUAAAGGAAACUGCCGGGGAAAAACCGGAGGAAGGGGGGGAUGACCUCAAGUCUUCCGGGCCCUUACGGGUGGGGGUACCCCCGUGCUAAAAGGGCGCAAAAAAAGGGAAGCCACCCCCCGAGAGGAAGCGGAACUCAAAAAGUGCGUCCUAAUCCGGAUUGGAGUCCGCAACUCCACUCCCUGGAAUCGGAAUCCC